UUUUAUUUUAGAAAAAAAAAAUAACAGAACAAAAAUCGAAGAAAAUGAAGAGCGAGAGAUUCUAGAGGAUAGAGGCCCGAACAGAAACAGAGAAAUCUGUAGAAAGAGAUGGCUCAGAUCAGGCAUGCCUUCAAAUCGGAAUGGACAGAACACCACAACACCAUGGCUGCAACAACAAAAGGUUGCCCCGCCAAGAAAUUGAGUAUUUCUCCUCUAGUCUGACUUUUCAGGCUCACUAAAUAUAUCAUCACAGGACCCACACACACCAGGAAGAGAGCAGAGAUAUGGUAUAAGAGCUGUUUGACACAUAAGAAACGUAAUCAGUAGUCACAGGCUCCGCUACCUAUCAGAGAGUUCCGAGUGAACCACCCUGAAACCAACUGCCCCUCACUGAGAGCAAAGCCUCGU
This 408-nucleotide long non-coding RNA is filed under the name Jatropha curcas. Its description in RNAcentral is "long non-coding RNA (JCUR_LNC001604)". The record is from RNAcentral. Lineage: Eukaryota; Viridiplantae; Streptophyta; Magnoliopsida; Malpighiales; Euphorbiaceae.